Molecule: ribosomal RNA, 447 nt
Filed under: uncultured bacterium
Lineage: Bacteria
Description: bacterial SSU rRNA
Rfam family: Bacterial small subunit ribosomal RNA
Source: RNAcentral
UCGGGAAUUUUGGGCAAUGGGGGAAACCCUGACCCAGCAACGCCGCGUGAAGGAUGAAGUAUUUCGGUAUGUAAACUUCGAAAGAAUAGGAAGAAUAAAUGACGGUACUAUUUAUAAGGUCCGGCUAACUACGUGCCAGCAGCCGCGGUAAUACGUAGGGACCAAGCGUUGUUCGGAUUUACUGGGCGUAAAGGGCGCGUAGGCGGCAUGACAAGUCACUUGUGAAAUCUCUGGGCUUAACCCAGAACGGCCAAGUGAUACUGUCGCGCUAGAGUGCAGAAGGGGCAAUCGGAAUUCUUGGUGUAGCGGUGAAAUGCGUAGAUAUCAAGAGGAACACCUGAGGUGAAGACGGGUUGCUGGGCUGACACUGACGCUGAGGCGCGAAAGCAAGGGGAUCAAACAGGAUUAGAUACCCUCGUAGUCCCUGAGCGGGCUGGCAAGGCGCAU